AAGAAGCACCGGCUAACUCCGUGCCAGCAGCCGCGGUAAUACGGAGGGUGCAAGCGUUAAUCGGAAUUACUGGGCGUAAAGCGCACGCAGGCGGUCUGUCAAGUCGGAUGUGAAAUCCCCGGGCUUAACCUGGGAACUGCAUUCGAAACUGGCAGGCUAGAGUCUUGUAGAGGGGGGUAGAAUUCCAGGUGUAGCGGUGAAAUGCGUAGAGAUCUGGAGGAAUACCGGUGGCGAAGGCGGCCCCCUGGACAAA
This 253-nucleotide ribosomal RNA is filed under the name Klebsiella pneumoniae. RNAcentral's name for it is "partial 16S ribosomal RNA". It matches the Rfam family "Bacterial small subunit ribosomal RNA", at positions 485 to 737 of the family's 1533-position model. The record is from RNAcentral. Lineage: Bacteria; Pseudomonadati; Pseudomonadota; Gammaproteobacteria; Enterobacterales; Enterobacteriaceae.